RNAcentral lists this ribosomal RNA (330 nucleotides) under uncultured eukaryote. Its description in RNAcentral is "partial 18S ribosomal RNA". It matches the Rfam family "Eukaryotic small subunit ribosomal RNA", at positions 1470 to 1796 of the family's 1831-position model. The record is from RNAcentral.
CCCUUAGAUGUUCGGUGCCGCACGCGCGCUACACUGAAGGAAUCAGCACGUCUUUCUCCUUGUCCGAAAGGACUGGGUAACCCGCUGAACCUCCUUCGUGCUAGGGAUUGGGGCUUGUAAUUCUUCCCCAUGAACGAGGAAUUCCCAGUAAGCGCGAGUCAUAAGCUCGCGUUGAUUACGUCCCUGCCCUUUGUACACACCGCCCGUCGCUACUACCGAUUGGAUGGUUUAGUGAGAUCCUCGGAUUGGUCCCGGAGCGGCCUCUGGUCGUGCCGGAGUGCCGAAAAGAAUGUCGAACUUGAUCAUCUAGAGGAAGUAAAAGUCGUAACA